Molecule: long non-coding RNA, 240 nt
Organism: Oxyura jamaicensis (ruddy duck)
Lineage: Eukaryota; Metazoa; Chordata; Aves; Anseriformes; Anatidae
Exons: 2
Source: RefSeq, a predicted model, not a curated record
AGAUCCCUUUGGGCUGGUGAGCUGGUGGAGCUUCCCCUGGCUGCAGUCAGCGAUGGUGUGGUGUGGGAAAUGUGCCUCGGCCUCGCCUUGCUUUGCUGCCCACGUACUGCAGUUUGCCAGAAAACUAGGUCUCAUGGCUCUUUUUUUCCUGGAAGUCUUUGACCAGAAGCGGCCAUGUAGAACAUGGAUCUGACAUGGCCUAACCAAGAGGGGAAAGCAAGGGUGACCAAGAAGCAAAAA